GAUGAAGAACGUAGCGAAAUGCGAUAAGUAAUGUGAAUUGCAGAAUUCAGUGAAUCAUCGAAUCUUUGAACGCACAUUGCGCCCGUCAGUAUUCUGGCGGGCAUGCCUGUUCGAGCGUCAUUUCAACCCUCGCAGCCCAUCUGGGCAGCGGUGUUGGGGACCGGCACCACCGGCGAAGCCCUUAGGGGCCCAGCCGGCGCCGCCCCCGAAAUACAGUGGCGGUCUCGCUGCAGCCUCCCUUGCGUAGUAGCACACCUCGCACCGGAGCGCAGCGCGGCCACGCCGUAAAACCCCCGACUUUCUGAGUUUGACCUCGAAUCAGGUAGGAAUACCCGCUGAACUUAAGCAUAUCAAUAAGCGGAGGA
RNAcentral lists this unclassified non-coding RNA (365 nucleotides) under soil metagenome. RNAcentral describes it as "partial contains 5.8S ribosomal RNA, internal transcribed spacer 2, and large subunit ribosomal RNA". The stretch from base 1 to 120 matches the Rfam family "5.8S ribosomal RNA", at positions 35 to 154 of the family's 154-position model. The record is from RNAcentral.